Archocentrus centrarchus (flier cichlid) is the source of this 497-nucleotide long non-coding RNA. RefSeq lists it as uncharacterized. The transcript is spliced from 4 exons. The record is from RefSeq and is a predicted model, not a curated record. Lineage: Eukaryota; Metazoa; Chordata; Actinopteri; Cichliformes; Cichlidae.
UCAGCGCUGUCUUCAUCUUUGAGACGUCUCAUUUGUGAAUGUGAGAGCAGGAAGAGAGACAGAGAAGCACGAUGGCUGAAUUCAGAUGGAUUCAAAUGCUUUCAUUCCUGAUCCUGAUGCUUCAGUUUAAAGGUAGCGCCUGUAUCACGGCUGCAUGACCUCAGACACCUGUCUCCUUCUGUGUUUUCUUGUUUGUAUUUCUUGGAUGGAUGUUCAGGAACGUAAUCUCAGUGUAUGUCUUGAUGUAUAACGACAAUAAACUCUUCUUGAUCUUGAUCUGUCUGUCAUCAACAGCCCCAGGAAUGGUGCCACCAUAAAAAAAUGAAAUCCCUGCAAAUACAGGUGCACAAAGAUGAAGAUGAAGGUACAGUGACCUAUGAAAACUCUGCAGACCCUUCUGCUUCUGUCAGACUCCACUGAUCAUCAACAUCAACUCAGCACAGAAACGACAUCACUGCUGUUAAAGAUCAUCUCAGCACAUUUCAUAUGAGGAGAAA